RNAcentral lists this ribosomal RNA (543 nucleotides) under Mycoplasmopsis sturni. Its description in RNAcentral is "bacterial SSU rRNA". It matches the Rfam family "Bacterial small subunit ribosomal RNA", at positions 248 to 779 of the family's 1533-position model. Lineage: Bacteria; Bacillati; Mycoplasmatota; Mycoplasmoidales; Metamycoplasmataceae. The record is from RNAcentral.
GUUGGUAAGGUAAUGGCUUACCAAGGCGAUGAUGUUUAGCGGAGUUGAGAGACUGAUCCGCCACACUGGGACUGAGAUACGGCCCAGACUCCUACGGGAGGCAGCAGUAGGGAAUUUUCCACAAUGAGCGAAAGCUUGAUGGAGCGACACAGCGUGUGCGAUGACGGCCUUCGGGUUGUAAAGCACUGUUAUAAGGGAAGAAAAAGCAAUAGAGGAAAUGCUAUUGCCUUGACGGUACCUUGUCAGAAAGCAACGGCUAACUAUGUGCCAGCAGCCGCGGUAAUACAUAGGUUGCAAGCGUUAUCCGGAAUUAUUGGGCGUAAAGCGUCUGUAGGUUGUUUGUUAAGUCUGACGUCAAAACUUGGGGCUCAACCCCAAAUCGCGUUGGAUACUGGCAAGCUAGAGUUGUUUAGAGGUUAAUGGAAUUCCUUGUGAAGCGGUGGAAUGCGUAGAUAUAAGGAAGAACACCAACAUGGCGAAGGCAAUUAACUGGGGAACACACUGACACUGAGAGACGAAAGCGUGGGGGAGCAAACAGGGAUU